UUCCUACGGGCGGCUGCAGUGGGGAAUUUUGGACAAUGGGGGCAACCUUGAUCCAGCAAUGCCGCGUGUGUGAAGAAGGCCUUCGGGUUGUAAAGCACUUUUGUCCGGAACGAAACGAUCCUGGUUAAUACCUGGGGUUAAUGACGGUACCGGAAGAAUAAGCACCGGCUAACUACGUGCCAGCAGCCGCGGUAAUACGUAGGGUGCGAGCGUUAAUCGGAAUUACUGGGCGUAAAGCGUGCGCAGGCGGGUGUGUAAGACAGGCGUGAAAUCCCCGGGCUUAACCUGGGAAGUGCGCUUGUGACUGCAAGGCUAGAGUGUGUCAGAGGGGGGUAGAAUUCCACGUGUAGCAGUGAAAUGCGUAGAGAUGUGGAGGAAUACCGAUGGCGAAGGCAGCCCCCUGGGAUAACACUGACGCUCAUGCACGAAAGCGUGGGGAGCAAACAGGAUUAGAUACCCUGGUAGUCC
RNAcentral lists this ribosomal RNA (468 nucleotides) under uncultured Oxalobacteraceae bacterium. Its description in RNAcentral is "bacterial SSU rRNA". It matches the Rfam family "Bacterial small subunit ribosomal RNA", at positions 336 to 796 of the family's 1533-position model. The record is from RNAcentral. Lineage: Bacteria; Pseudomonadati; Pseudomonadota; Betaproteobacteria; Burkholderiales; Oxalobacteraceae.